Molecule: long non-coding RNA, 547 nt
Organism: Papaver somniferum (opium poppy)
Lineage: Eukaryota; Viridiplantae; Streptophyta; Magnoliopsida; Ranunculales; Papaveraceae
Exons: 3
Source: RefSeq, a predicted model, not a curated record
AUAGCCCUAAAAUUUUAUCAUAUAUUUUUCUCUUUAUCUUUCUUCCAGAUCCCAUGGAAAUAUCAGUAAACUUAGAGAAAGGUACACUUGUUCAACCCUUUUUAUUGAUUCAGAUCAAAACAUACAUCAUAGAAGGAGAUAGAAAAGGGGACAGAAUACUUCAGCCUUAAGAAGUUAAGGUGUCGUGAGCGUCAUGCGUUUUUAAGGCCUCAAGGGAAUACAUUGUCAGGUUCAAGGGACAGCAAAAGCUUCAAGGGAAAAUGUUGCCAGUUUUACUAGAGGACAGAAUCAAGCUAACGCAAAUUUCAGGCACCAUGCUUUCAAUAUGGUUCUUGAUCCAGCGCUUGCUCUAACUAAAGAAGAUCCGGAAGAUGUUUAGCGCUUGGUUUUAGUUGAAGUUACAUGAGUAACUCAAUUAACAGUUCAAAAGUAGUUUAAUUAGCGCCGAUAAGUACAAUUACUGCUUAAGAUAUAUUGAUGUAAUAUUUUGUUUAAAUAGUUUUCCUCUCUAAUAUUAUGUUCAUAUGUUACAUAUUUUAUACGACGA